RNAcentral lists this long non-coding RNA (202 nucleotides) under Elaeis guineensis (African oil palm). Its description in RNAcentral is "long non-coding RNA (EGUI_LNC032623)". The record is from RNAcentral. Lineage: Eukaryota; Viridiplantae; Streptophyta; Magnoliopsida; Arecales; Arecaceae.
CCCAUCAAGUGGAGGACUGAGGUGGGGUUCUUGAAGCUCAAAGGAGCUCCUCUAGUCCAAAUAGCACCCCCGCAUAUCAUGUUUUCUUUGUAGAUAAAUUCUUUAUGCACCACGAGCGGUGUAGAAAAUUCAUCAUGGAGCACACCGUCUUGUCUGAUUGAUCCACGUAGUCAUUACUUUCUAACGCAUAUUUAAUGUCUGU